Lotus japonicus is the source of this 764-nucleotide long non-coding RNA. RefSeq lists it as uncharacterized. The record is from RefSeq and is a predicted model, not a curated record. NCBI's taxonomy places the organism in Eukaryota, Viridiplantae, Streptophyta, Magnoliopsida, Fabales, Fabaceae. The transcript is spliced from 5 exons.
CCCCAAAUCUGAUUCAUAUUUUCGAAAUCACUUAAUUCGUGAUGAAUCAACUUUAAAUCGUGAUUUCAUCCCUAAGCUCUCAAUCUCUUUUAAUUCGUGUUUCUUACGGCCUCUUCAGAUGUUGGUCCUGUCAACCCCCCCUUUCUUCCUGUUUCAUCUUCUCCAAUUUGUUUACGAGCAGUUCGUGAUUCGGUUUCUCGCGGCCUCAUCGACUCAGGUAAAUUCAUCUCUGAUGCAAAUUAUACACGUAAUUUUGUGAGAGAAAUCAGAUCUGGCCUAAACCCCAAUCUGUCGACGCUGACGAUGGCCAAUUUCAGACUCAGAACGAUGCUCCACCAAUAAGAUCGUGAGAUCGCAGUGCAGAACGGAGGAGGUUGAAUCUGGAAAGUUCAUAAGGAAAUAUGAGAAAACCGUAGAGCUUAUCCGCAACUGCGUCGGAAGGGUUUACCAUACCAAUUAGUGUUACCCUUCAAGAAUUACGGCAGAGACUUGAGGACUUAGGAGCAAAGCUCCAACUGUGGAAGUGAUGCUCAAGAAUUUGACUAUUGAGGUUGAUUCCUAUGUUGUCAGCACUCAGCAGAGCUUUGCCAAACCUACCAAGCUCUGCAUUGAACAUUGUAGAAAUACUUCUUGGUGCCUGUGGGAUUAGUACUGCUACGAGAACAAAGCUCAUACUUCCAAAUUUUUCUUCAUUGUUACGAGAUAUAUAGGCUUCAUUGCACAGCGACUUGAUGCUCACUCACCUAGCAACAACUGAUUCAUGU